RNAcentral lists this ribosomal RNA (602 nucleotides) under Salmonella enterica. Its description in RNAcentral is "partial 23S ribosomal RNA". It matches the Rfam family "Bacterial large subunit ribosomal RNA", at positions 711 to 1310 of the family's 2925-position model. The record is from RNAcentral. RNAcentral also lists the same sequence under 2 other names. Lineage: Bacteria; Pseudomonadati; Pseudomonadota; Gammaproteobacteria; Enterobacterales; Enterobacteriaceae.
AGACCCGAAACCCGGUGAUCUAGCCAUGGGCAGGUUGAAGGUUGGGUAACACUAACUGGAGGACCGAACCGACUAAUGUUGAAAAAUUAGCGGAUGACCUGUGGCUGGGGGUGAAAGGCCAAUCAAACCGGGAGAUAGCUGGUUCUCCCCGAAAGCUAUUUAGGUAGCGCCUCGUGAAUUCAUCUCCGGGGGUAGAGCACUGUUUCGGCUAGGGGGCCAUCCCGGCUUACCAACCCGAUGCAAACUGCGAAUACCGGAGAAUGUUAUCACGGGAGACACACGGCGGGUGCUAACGUCCGUCGUGAAGAGGGAAACAACCCAGACCGCCAGCUAAGGUCCCAAAGUCAUGGUUAAGUGGGAAACGAUGUGGGAAGGCCCAGACAGCCAGGAUGUUGGCUUAGAAGCAGCCAUCAUUUAAAGAAAGCGUAAUAGCUCACUGGUCGAGUCGGCCUGCGCGGAAGAUGUAACGGGGCUAAACCAUGCACCGAAGCUGCGGCAGCGACACUGUGUGUUGUUGGGUAGGGGAGCGUUCUGUAAGCCUGUGAAGGUGUGUCGUGAGGCAUGCUGGAGGUAUCAGAAGUGCGAAUGCUGACAUAAGUAAC